Molecule: ribosomal RNA, 483 nt
Filed under: uncultured bacterium
Lineage: Bacteria
Description: bacterial SSU rRNA
Rfam family: Bacterial small subunit ribosomal RNA
Source: RNAcentral
GACGAACGCUGGCGGCGUGCCUAACACAUGCAAGUCGAGCGGAGUUGACAAGAGGAAGUUUUCGGAUGGAAUCUUGCCAGCUUAGCGGCGGACGGGUGAGUAACGCGUGAGCGACCAACCUUGCACGAGGGGGAUAACGGACCGAAAGGUUCACUAAUACCGCAUGAGACCACGGUGUUGCAUGACACAGAGGUCAAAGGAGCAAUCCGGUGCAAGACGGGCUCGCGUCCGAUUAGGUAGUUGGUGGGGUAAUGGCCCACCAAGCCUAUGAUCGGUAGCCGACCUGAGAGGGUGAUCGGCCACAUUGGAACUGAGAUACGGUCCAAACUCCUACGGGAGGCAGCAGUGGGGAAUAUUGGGCAAUGGGGGAAACCCUGACCCAGCAACGCCGCGUGAAGGAAGAAGGUUUUCGGAUUGUAAACUUCUGUCCUUGGUGAAGAGAAGAAGACGGUAGCCAAGGAGGAAGCCCCGGCUAACUACGUG